Molecule: ribosomal RNA, 341 nt
Filed under: Haemophilus influenzae
Lineage: Bacteria; Pseudomonadati; Pseudomonadota; Gammaproteobacteria; Pasteurellales; Pasteurellaceae
Description: partial 23S ribosomal RNA
Rfam family: Bacterial large subunit ribosomal RNA
Source: RNAcentral
UAAUAGCUCACUAGUCGAGUCGGCCUGCGCGGAAGAUGUAACGGGGCUGAAAUAUAGCACCGAAGCUGCGGCAUCAGGCGUAUCACUAAUACGCCUUACGAUUAACAACAUGGAAUGGUGCGAAGCGACAUGAAAGGUUGUUCAAGCAACCCGAACGUUGAGUCGGGCAUCUUUGAGUAAGGAUGAUUAGUGAUACGCCUGUUGGGUAGGGGAGCGUUCUGUAAGCGGAUGAAGGUGGCUCGAGAGGGCUGCUGGACGUAUCAGAAGUGCGAAUGCUGACAUAAGUAACGAUAAAACGGGUGAAAAACCCGUUCGCCGGAAGACCAAGGGUUCCUGUCCAA